UACGUAGGGGGCGAGCGUUGUCCGAAUUUACUGGGCGUAAAGAGCGCGUAGGCGGGUUCUUAAGUGAGAGGUGAAAGGUUCAGGGCUCAACCCGAACAGUGCCUUUCAUACUGGGAGCCUUGAGUGUGGGAGAGGUGAGUGGAAUUCCUGGUGUAGCGGUGAAAUGCGUAGAUAUCAGGAGGAACACCUGUGGCGAAAGCGGCUCACUGGACCAUAACUGACGCUGAUGCACGAAAGCUAGGGGAGCAAACAGG
This 254-nucleotide ribosomal RNA is filed under the name uncultured bacterium. RNAcentral's name for it is "partial 16S ribosomal RNA". It matches the Rfam family "Bacterial small subunit ribosomal RNA", at positions 524 to 776 of the family's 1533-position model. The record is from RNAcentral.